AGUGAACGCUGGCGGUAGGCCUAACACAUGCAAGUCGAACGGCAGCACAGUAAGAGCUUGCUCUUACGGGUGGCGAGUGGCGGACGGGUGAGGAAUACAUCGGAAUCUACUUUUUCGUGGGGGAUAACGUAGGGAAACUUACGCUAAUACCGCAUACGACCUACGGGUGAAAGCAGGGGAUCUUCGGACCUUGCGCGAUUGAAUGAGCCGAUGUCGGAUUAGCUAGUUGGCGGGGUAAAGGCCCACCAAGGCGACGAUCCGUAGCUGGUCUGAGAGGAUGAUCAGCCACACUGGAACUGAGACACGGUCCAGACUCCUACGGGAGGCAGCAGUGGGGAAUAUUGGGCAAUGGGCGCAAGCCUGAUCCAGCCAUACCGCGUGGGUGAAGAAGGUCUUCGGGUUGUAAAGCCCUUUUGUUGGGAAAGAAAAGCAGCAGGUUAAUACCCCGCUGUUCUGACGGUACCCAAAGAAUAAGCACCGGCUAACUUCGUG
RNAcentral lists this ribosomal RNA (492 nucleotides) under uncultured bacterium. RNAcentral's name for it is "partial 16S ribosomal RNA". It matches the Rfam family "Bacterial small subunit ribosomal RNA", at positions 29 to 507 of the family's 1533-position model. The record is from RNAcentral.